Molecule: ribosomal RNA, 470 nt
Filed under: uncultured bacterium
Lineage: Bacteria
Description: bacterial SSU rRNA
Rfam family: Bacterial small subunit ribosomal RNA
Source: RNAcentral
GACGAACGCUGGCGGCGUGCUUAAUGCAUGCAAGUCAGGGAGAACCACUCGCUUCGUAAGAAGCGGAUGGGGAAACCGGCGAACGGGUGCGUAACACGUGAGAAACCUGCCCUGGAGACCGGGAUAGCCCGAGGAAACUCGGAUUAAUACCGGAUAUGCUCACAGGACCGCAUGGUCCGGUGAGGAAAUGGUCCGCCGCUCCAGGAUGGUCUCGCGGCCUAUCAGCUUGUUGGUGAGGUAACGGCUCACCAAGGCCGAGACGGGUAGCUGGUCUGAGAGGACGAUCAGCCACACUGGGACUGAGACACGGCCCAGACUCCUACGGGAGGCAGCAGCAGGGAAUAUUGCACAAUGGGCGAAAGCCUGAUGCAGCGACGCCGCGUGCGGGAUGACGGCCUUCGGGUUGUAAACCGCUUUCAGCAGGGAAGAAAAUGACGGUACCCGCAGAAGAAGCCCCGGCUAACUCCGUG